CUUUGACUGUGUAUGGAGGCCACCAUGAUAUGCCCUCAUGGUACCACUCUGCUGCCACCGGGCUUGUUGUUCCCUCAUCCACAAAUUCAACCAUUCGCGAUACUGACUGGCUGUUUGGAUGGACCUGGGAAGUGGACCACAUGCAUGAACUUUGUAUAAUCCCAUUCUUUUCCUAUUUCGAUUCAGUUUUUUGGGCCUCUCUGACAGUCUUCUAAUGACCUGACUGAGUGGGAAGCCAGGUUUUCUAAUUAGCUUUUUAAUCUGGUGAAGGAAAGAUUCAAAUUUAAAUGCACUGAAAUUAUCGAGUGCACCAUGUAUUUUUACAUCUUGUGCCAAGUGAACAAGGUUGUGUACAUUGUAAGACAUGAACUUUUCCCCAUAGAGCUCUUGAAAGUGUUUCACAAAUAAAACCAAAAUGUCAUUAGCAUACUCAAGAUGGUCUCGGAGUAGCUGUUUGCUGGAUAAAAUGAACACUCCCACAAAAAGUAGAAGAAAGUUUUGGUAUGCUGUUGUAAUGAGUGUGCUAUUUAAAAGAACAGGCCCACUGUACAACAAAAACUGCCGGAACUCAGUAGCUUUCCACCUGUCUAACUCUCUUACAGACCUUGGUUGUCGCGAGAAUUCCAAGGGAACAUUUUUACGGAUUUGCUGAAGUCUGCUUGAAAGGUUGUCAACAGUAGAGGCAGGCAGUCUGCAGGACAAAGGACCCCGUAGCCACAACAAAAGGAGCCUGCACAUAACACCAAGGCACACAAGGUGCAUAUAGUCUAAUGGAAAGCCUGUUACCAUUUUCAGUGAUGUUCUUUGCAGUGGUGUGGGACCAUGAUGAUGUUCUUCAUCUAUUUGAGCCCUGAAUGACUCAUCUGUUCUCAGUAAAGCAUCAAUUUCAGGAAAAACAACUCGAUUCUCAAUAUACUUCCCCUCUUGGGUACAUUUCCCACAGCCACUAUAGCCAGAGUGACCGUUUAUGUUUUUCACAAAGGCACAUGCCGGAGCAUCACAAACUACUGUGCACAGCCUUAAGUAUAGGGAAAUCUCCUUUGUAAUUAAAUCCUUUUUCCAGAUUAGAAAUGUCUGACACAAAAUCUUCUAGGAAGGCAUCCAGGGAUCCUGGUUUUUGGUUGCCACAAAACAAACCUAUUAUGACUGGGUCAUGUUUUGGAAGAUUUUCAAUAAUUCCUAGAAUUGGCCAAAACUGUGUGGUGGAACUCUUGAAUAAAGGUAAACCAUCAAUAUUGA
Molecule: long non-coding RNA, 1239 nt
Organism: Trichomycterus rosablanca
Lineage: Eukaryota; Metazoa; Chordata; Actinopteri; Siluriformes; Trichomycteridae
Exons: 2
Source: RefSeq, a predicted model, not a curated record